UACGUAGGGUGCGAGCGUUAAUCGGAAUUACUGGGCGUAAAGCGUGCGCAGGCGGAUUUUUAAGCCAGGUGUGAAAUCCCCGGGCUUAACCUGGGAAUGGCAUUUGGGACUGCAAGGCUUGAGUGCGGCAGAGGAGAGUGGAAUUCCCGGUGUAGCAGUGAAAUGCGUAGAUAUCGGGAGGAAUACCGAUGGCGAAGGCAGGUCUCUGGGCUGACACUGACGCUGAGGCACGAAAGCGUGGGGAGCAAACAGG
RNAcentral lists this ribosomal RNA (253 nucleotides) under uncultured bacterium. RNAcentral's name for it is "partial 16S ribosomal RNA". It matches the Rfam family "Bacterial small subunit ribosomal RNA", at positions 524 to 776 of the family's 1533-position model. The record is from RNAcentral.